UGAGCAAUCUGCCCUUCUCAUCGGAAUAAGCGUUGGAAACGACGUCUAAUGCCGAAUACGACCUCCUUUCACAUGAUCGGAGGUGGAAA
RNAcentral lists this ribosomal RNA (89 nucleotides) under uncultured bacterium. RNAcentral describes it as "partial 16S ribosomal RNA". The record is from RNAcentral.